This 460-nucleotide ribosomal RNA is filed under the name uncultured bacterium. RNAcentral's name for it is "partial 16S ribosomal RNA". It matches the Rfam family "Bacterial small subunit ribosomal RNA", at positions 338 to 795 of the family's 1533-position model. The record is from RNAcentral.
CCUACGGGUGGCAGCAGUGAGGAAUAUUGGUCAAUGGGCGCGAGCCUGAACCAGCCAAGUAGCGUGAAGGAUGACUGCCCUACGGGUUGUAAACUUCUUUUAUAAAGGACUAAAGUGAGGCACGUGUGCCUUUUUGUAUGUACUUUAUGAAUAAGGAUCGGCUAACUCCGUGCCAGCAGCCACGGUAAUACGGAGGAUCCGAGCGUUAUCCGGAUUUAUUGGGUUUAAAGGGAGCGUAGAUGGGUUGUUACGUCAGUUGUGAAAGUGUGCGGCUUAACCGUAAAAUGGCAAUUGAUACUGGCGGUCUUGAGUACAGUUGAGGUAGGCGGAAUUCGUGGUGUAGCGGUGAAAUGCUUAGAUAUCACGAAGAACUCCGAUUGCGAAGGCAGCUUACUAAACUGCCACUGACAUUGAUGCUCGAAAGUGUGGGGAUCAAACAGGAUUGGAUACCCGGGUAGUC